UUCCCUGCUUCUUCCUCGGCUCCUUCUUGUGUGCUCCUUCUCCCUGUGUGCUCCUCCUGGCUCCUUCCCUGGCUCCUUCUCCUUGUUCCUUCCCCAGCUCCUUCCCUGUCCUCCUCCUUGUUCCUUCUCCCUGCUCCUUCCCCGUGUGCUCCUUCUCCCUGCUCGGCUCCUUCCCCGUGCUUUUUCCCCAAAUCCUUCCGUCUGUGCCCCUUCCCCGUGCUCCUCCUCCCCGUUUCUUCCCCGUUCUCCCUCCCCCAGCAGCACCUCCCCGGGUCCUGCCGCGGGAGGGCCCGGCCACAGCGCCCGGGGCUGGAGGUCGGCAGCGGGGCUGCUGCUGGGGGGCACGGCGGGGAGCGGGACCCCAAAAUAGGAACAGGGAAUGGGACCCCAAUAGGAACGGGACCCCAAUGGGGAACGGGACCCCGACGGGGAACGGGACCCCAAGAGGCAGGGAACCACGUCCUGACUCAGAUAAUGAGGCCCCGACACGUAACGAGGCUCCUGGCCGAAGGAAUGAGGUUCCCGACGGGUUCCGAGGCUCCUGACUCAGCCCCGCGUGGCACCGAGACAGACAGAUGGACGGACAGAUCAGGGGCUUUCUGGGGUCGCAGGGAGCCCCCACACCAGGGAAAAAUUCCCCAAAGCCAUGUCCCUGGGGGAGAGUGCAAUUGGGGGGGGGGGGAACAGGGGCUGCUCGAGGAUAAAGCGCCCGGGGAGCAGGGGGAUGCGGCCCCGCGGGGGUGAGCGGCCAAGGGCACGCGGAAAGGAAGAAAGAAAAAGCCCCAAAAAGGAAAACUCCCAAAAGAUAAAACCCCAAAAAAGAAGAAAAGCCCCCCAAAAAGAAGAAAAGCCCCAAGAAAGAAGCAAAGCCCCAAACCCCAAAAGAAAGAAGCAAAGCCCCAAAAGAAGCAAAACCCCAAAGAAAAACCCCAAAACCCUAAAAGACGCUAAACCCCAGAAGAAGCUAAACCCCAAAAACCCCAAAAGAUGCUAAACCCCAAAGGCACAAGGGGGCCGUCCUCAAACCCACCCCAGGGUUUGGGGUCUCCCGAGGCUGCUGCCCCCAGUGGACGACCCCACAGGGGAGCUGCUGCUCAGGGUCCUCCCCAAAACACCCCCCAGGCUCAAAUCACGACCCAAACCCCAAAAGGAGCUGCCCAGCAGCGUCCCCCCCAAAAAAAACACCUCAAUUGGCUCAGCAGCUGCCACAAGACCCCCCCACGGGACCCCAAAAGCAGGGGCUGGGGGCGCAGGAGCACGAGGGGGAAGGUGGUGGCCCCAUAGGGCCGGGUCCUUGCUCUUUUAGGUUCAUUUUG
This 1316-nucleotide long non-coding RNA is filed under the name Anas platyrhynchos platyrhynchos (common mallard). RNAcentral describes it as "lncRNA (ENSAPLG00000018776.1)". The record is from RNAcentral. Lineage: Eukaryota; Metazoa; Chordata; Aves; Anseriformes; Anatidae.